GACCGUCGUCGCGUCUCGCCGCCGCGCGAUCGUUCUCGUGACUGCGGACUACUUUCCUGCGGCGGACGAACGACCGCGGCAACGCGCACGCGUCGACCAGACGCGCACGCCACCUGGCACUGCCGCGAGCAACCGCAUUGGUGGCGCGUAGUCGUGCGACGCGUCCAUUGCGCAAGAUUGACCGUUGAGUGUUUCGAGACGUUUCCGUAACCGUUUGAAAUACGUUUUCCGCGCGUACACCGUUUUUCUGCCGCAUUCCGCGAUGUUCACGGACGUUCGCUAAGGCUUUUUUCUGCAGUUUUAUCUAAUCUUUCGCUGUCUUUCUACAGAAACGUUGCGGCAACCCUCACUGAACGAACCUAGGGUUAUGGCAACGUUAGAAUUAGGAAACAGGCCCUCGAAAAGAAUUUCAUCGUAACAUCCUAACAAAGUUCGAGUUAUCACAUGCGGUAGUGAGUGUUUUUUAACGAUAAAUUAUAUCGAAGAAAGUCGAGCUGAGUUUUUCCUGAGUGCUUCAACGACGAAUGAUUGCGAUGAAUCUGUAUUGAGAGCGAAGAUGAUGUUUCGGCGAUCCGUUGCUUGAUUCAGUUCUCCAGAAAGGUGCAUCGCCGCGAUUGUGAUGUCUUAAGGACGAGCAAGCGAAGUCUCUGGACGCGCGAGCGUGCGAGCGAACGAGCAGAAAACGAUCGCGCGUCAUUAGAUCCUGGUCUUGGCCUGACGUCUCGGAGGAACGGCCGACGUAACGUAAGCUUGCAUCCCGCCGCCGACGCGACGCGACGCCGCGCGUUCGACAAGGAUAAACGCCAGAGACACAACACAACGCGCGCGAGAGGAGAUCGGCGAGUAAGAGCUAGAGGCGCGCGCGGCCGGAGAGACCGGGGAGUGGGUGAGCCGACCUCUGACCCCGGCGCGCGAGGGGCGACCGGGGGACCGCGGCACCGUGGCGCAUAGCUCAGGCAUAGCUCGGGCAUAGGCAUACAAGCGCGCGGCGCGACUCGCCCGCCUUUCACUUCGCGAGGAGACGCGAAGGUAAGGAACGUACGUACGCGGAUAGAGGCGGCCGGGCCGGGGAGUGCCCCGCCGCGCGCCGCGCUAUUAUCAUAUUACAGGCGAUUCUCGACGCCGACGCCGGCGUCGGUCGCGGCGCGACAUGGCGAUGCUCCGCGUUCAGCGGGAUAUCGGGAGACGCGGACGCCGCGCCGGCGCGACGUCGUCGUCUAUGAUUAAAAUCAAAGUUCAAUUAGACAAACAAUUAAUUAAAUAGAUGGCAAGAGAGGAGCGGAAAGAGAGAUAUGCGGAGCGAAAGAACGACAUUUCGAACUCUCUCGUUUGUUUUUCUUUUAUUAGAUGAGGUAGCCUGAAUAGAUAAGAAUAACUUUCUCCAGGACACUUUAGCAAGGAUCAGAAUAUAAGAGUUUAACUUAAGAUUAUACCUUGUUUAAUUUUAAAUGCGGCACUGCUUAAAAUAAUAUUUAUCUGGAUUAGUCGUUGACAGAUUAUUCAUUAUAUAAUUUUUUUUUCCAUAUUUAUUAUUUAUACAUACACAUACACACCUGUCUGUUUUUCUUAACAUUGUUUCAAGAUGAUUUAAAUAUCAUAAAAAGAACGGAUCCGCGAGGACUCGUCCAAGUUACGCUAUUACAAGUUACAAUAAAGUAUCUCGAAAAAUGAUUGCGACGCAGCUCGAGCGAGCUUUUGAUUUCUUCCAUCGCGAUUUUUUCGCUGUCAACGCGCUUUACGACGGGAUUAUCGUGCGACACGAUCGCAGACGAAUAUUUCACACUCGCAGGGAUUACGCAAGGAAUAGUGUGUCGAGGCGUAUACCUUAGGCGGCGUUCGGCGAGGCCGCCGUGAUUUUUGCCACUCCGUGGCGUGAAAAAAUAAAAGCCGCCCCGCUACGAGAGCGCGAAUGACGCGCAUGAUCUCUCGCGUGGCAAGACGAAAGUGAUAUCGUUACGCCGUGAACGGGACGUUUAUUAUCCUUUUUAUCGCGCCCGGAUCCGUUAUUUCUCGCGCGCGCGCGCUGGAUCCGCUCUCAUAACCGCCGCGCGAUUACUUGUACAAACUCCCCGGAGUGUGACGGCGUAAUUGUAAUUUAUUGAAUAAUUAUGGCGGCGGUAGUAAUUGGCGGCGACGGGUAUAGUAUAGCAAAGACGGCGCGGCGGGCUGCUAUAUACUUUUCCUGAACACCGUGAGCGCCUGAAGUACACCGAGUGGAUUACUAGAGGAAAUUGUCGUGUUGCAAGAAACAAAAACGAGAUAAUCAAAGUAGAGAGAGAGAGAGAGAGAGAGAGAGAAAGAGGAGGUAAGAAUAGAAAUAGAAAUUUAAUAAAUUAUUUCUGUCUCUCCGGAGCAUCUCUCGUUUCGUUAAUCAAUAUGCUGACCAAACGGGGUCUCUCUAUACGGCGUUUCUCUCUCGACGCGCGAUAUUUGAUCGAACGUAACGACAAAUAAAACAAACCGCCUAUUUCCACGCACGCGACAGUUUCGAAAACGUAUCUCAAUCCCGGCGCACCGGCGGAAAUAUCGGUGUGUGUUGGAUUGCGAGUGUCGACGGGUUGUUCGCGCGCGCUCGAGCGAGCGCGAGAUUGACGGGAUAAUCGCGCUAGGCGAGACGCGAGUGAUUUCGACGCGUGGCAGAUGGCACAUUCGUUAUCGUCUUUAUUAGCCUACGCGCUUUUUGUUCUCCUUUUGCACCGUGGCAAAUUGCCAACGCGCAAUUAACGAUUUGGCGUUUUCACCGUUGGUGAAACGAAAGAAAAAGGAGGAGGAAGCCUCUACAGAUUUUUAUCUCGAUGGCGCAUAAAACUUGAUGCUCACGACUGUGAAAUAAGCGUGAUUAACUCGUAAACGAAUGCGUAAUCCACCGUAGAAGAGACGUCAAUUAUUUUUCCAACGAGUUCAUUGGAAUUCUCGCGGCGCGUAGAAAACGUAGAAACCAGCUGCAGUUUCUGCAAUUACAAUACUUCCCAAUUUUUUUUCCGACGCUUUAUAUUAAACAACAUAACAUCAUAAUAUCCGACUCUUUCUACAUAUUUCGCAGUUUACCUCUAAAUAGGCUUUAAUCGAUUUUAAGCAUUCAGGCAUCGAUCGCGCAUUCAAGGUAUAUACUUACGACGUGAAAAGUCGCGGCGGAUUUACUUUCUUCAUUAGUCAAACUUAACGAGAGAUCCUGUUCUUCGGUCUGUCGCGACUCUGCAUGCAGUUUUAUAUACAUAUGUCUCAUACAUGACUAUAUAUCAUCUCUGUCCGACUAGACAUUGUGCAUAACAGGUUUGACCCAUCAAUGCAGCCGGUCCAAGAAUAACCGGGAAAGUGCGCGCGUCUCCGGCGGGACGACGAAAUCACUUUCGUCGCGCGACUCGCGCGCGUCUUCGCGCUAUCCGCGCGCGAUGGCGAGAAGAUACCGGAGGUCGCGCGGACACGUCCGACCCCGGGAAUUACUCGCGGCGACGGCGAGGAUUCCGUUGGGCACCGCGGUCGCGCGCUGGUACUCGAACGUAAGCGCGGAAAGACAGAAGAAACACGGUGAUCGGGGAAUGAGAGAGAAGGAGAGAGAGAGAGAGAGGCGAGGCCGAAGAGUCCGGUGAGAGUGCACGGCCGUAGCGUACGGUACGAUACGGUCGUGCCAGCAUGCCCGUAGGUCGACCCACAGCGCGCGAGCGCGAGACGUGUAAUUAUCAUCUCCCAAGGGCCUAUCCCACGCUAUCCAAGUUAAGUGGGACACAGCCGAUUACUGCGUGAGCGAUUAGAUGAGAGAAGCUCGGGGAAGGCGCCGCACGCGGCCCGACUCUGGAAGAGGUUGUGUCUCCGUGGAAAAGGACCAACCGCGAAUUCGUCGAUGAAUUAACACAUCAGCGUGCUGGCUCGAUAACGCAUUGACCGACAUCAAUCAAAAUCAACUGGAUCAUCUGUCUAGACUCGGUUACGUAAGAUGUAACAUCGUUUAGCCGGAGUCAAAAUUAAUUUCAGCGUAAUGUAGUUAAGAUUACUCAAAUCACCGGGUGAUAAUUGACGACUAAACGUCAUUUUACAUAAUAGUAUCUGUACCUUAUAAAGGGAGAAUAAUUAAAGUCUAUCAGUCUGUAAUGACGAGAUUAUGAAUACAGGUACUCGACAAAUUACAUGAAUGAAGGCGUAUAUAAUGAAUGAAUGUUAAUGUAUUGAAUUAAACUCCUGAUUAAUUUCCAUUCUAUUUAAAAA
Long non-coding RNA from Monomorium pharaonis (pharaoh ant), 4203 nucleotides. RefSeq lists it as uncharacterized. The record is from RefSeq and is a predicted model, not a curated record. The transcript has 3 exons. NCBI's taxonomy places the organism in Eukaryota, Metazoa, Arthropoda, Insecta, Hymenoptera, Formicidae.